GAUGUUCUUUUCUCUACAUUUUUAGGUGUUUUUUUCACAUAAAGUAAUGAAAAUAAGAGUUAAGUACGAUUUUAGUCCAUGUAGUUUAGGCCGAAAUUAUUUUUGUCUCCAACUUUUUUUUUUACAUAUAAAAUUGUCUCUAAGGUUCAACUUGAUUUUAAAAUCGCCUUUCAGACAAUUAUACUCUCAAUAACACCAUCUCCAUUGCAACCCUGUUAUAUGUUCUUCUUCUGACUCGUACUUUCAGAAGAGAGAGAAGUAGAGACUCAGAGAGAAAAGCAGAAACCCAAAGAAAGAGAGAGAGAAGGAGAGAAAGAAGCCUUGCCCUUGCCCGCGCCUCGCCCUCGCCGUCACCCGCGCCUCGNNNUCGUCCUCGCCUCGCCUCACCGCGCUUGGCCCUCUCCUUUGCCUCGUGUUCCUUGCGUUUCCAGCAUCAUUGCCGCGUCUCCCUUACCCUUCUCUUCCUGCCUUUCACCAUCCAAACUCACUGCCACCACCACUAUGCAGCUCCACCGUCAUUAUUGCCAUCAUAGGUGGUGGUGUUCUGUUCUUGUUUCUAGAUUGUUGUUGCUUUUCUUGGUUCUUUGGUUUUUGUGAGAAAUUGGAGGAAGAACAAAAUGUUUGUUGUUUUUGUUAAUGUUUGUUUUGACGAUGAUGAUGAUGAUUUUCUUUGUUUGUUGGAGUGUUGUUGUUGAAUUGCUAUUUUGGUUUUGAUUUAUUUGAAAUUGUUGUUGAAAGUUGGAUUUUCUUGUUGGAUUCAUGAAGAGAUGGUAAUGGGGUAGUAGUGGGUAGGGUAGUGGUGAUGGUGGUGAUGAGAAGAGAGAAACGGGUAUUCGGCAGUAGUGG
Molecule: long non-coding RNA, 846 nt
Filed under: Arachis ipaensis
Lineage: Eukaryota; Viridiplantae; Streptophyta; Magnoliopsida; Fabales; Fabaceae
Description: long non-coding RNA (AIPA_LNC001731)
Source: RNAcentral